UGCGACCAGUUUGCUCUGAUCUGCGAGGACCACUUUUUAAAAAUAGAGAGAUCCCCGGUGGAAGAGAGAAUCCUCUGCUUCAACAGGAAAUCUACAGCCUCCAUGAGGGAGAUCCAGAAAAACAUAGCCACACUUUGUAUCUGGAGUACAGAUUGGGCCAAACUGAAAGCCAGAGACAGAAAGUUGGUCCCUGGUGCAGGGGUCUUAACCAAGAUUUUUUAA
This 222-nucleotide long non-coding RNA is filed under the name Homo sapiens (human). RNAcentral's name for it is "non-protein coding lnc-GAPT-4:1". Lineage: Eukaryota; Metazoa; Chordata; Mammalia; Primates; Hominidae. The record is from RNAcentral.